GGAAGCCUCUCCUGCCUUACCCUAGCCCCUGCCCAGAAAGGUCCCUCCCUCUUUCACAUCCCUAGACUCUAGAUGUGACCAAACCAGAAUAGACUAUGGAAAAGGCUGUCAUCUUCCACAUUCUGAUCACUAUAUUCUUGUUAACUCUAAGAUUGCACUUCUAGUCGCCUAACUCAUGCCCUCUCCAUCCUUGGUCUGUCUCUACCCUUCUACCCCUCACCGCGUACACACAUGGGCUCUGUCAGGCCAGCACUCACCCAUCCUAUCCUUCUACAGUCGAUUUCUUAGGACUGGGAGCAGAACUUUAUACUUAAUCGGAAUAUGUUUUGUCUGGUUUCUUUUAGCAACUCCUCCCACUGAGUAUCAUCUUUUUUAGGUCCUUAUUCAUUAUUCAGCAUACUAGCUAUUUUCCCAAGCCUUGUUCUGAUUCAUUCAUUCUUUCUUUCAAUCAUUCAUGUAUUCAUCACACAUUCCCUGAGCACCUGUUCUGAGCCAAACACUGUGCUGAGGGCACAGAAAUGAAUGACCCGUCUCUGCCCUUGAGAAUCUAUGAUGUAACCCAAAGGAGGAAACACGCAGGCAAACAGUUGAUGAUAACUCAAUGGGCUGAGUGUGACGGCAGAGGAGAAUGGUGGUGCUGAGCUCACAGAGGGGCACCUACACCAGGCUAGAGGGCAGAGAAGGCUUCCGGAGGAGGUGACAAUGGCGUUGAGAUCAGAGAGGAUGACCAGAUACUGUACAUCAUUGUGUGUGAUACACGACCCUUCUGUGUCUUCCUCCAAGUUGUAAAGAUUCAUGGGGACAGGACCAAGGCUGAGCCAUUCCCAUGGGAGAGAGAAAGUCACCCGGAUGAAUACCAGGUGUGGUCUAAAAGGUUGCUGCAAGCGCGCAGAGGGCCUUCACGCAGACUCCAGAGGCACCAUGACCAACACAGCAUGCCUCUGCCUUCUGAACUCAUGACAGAAGGAGGGGGAGCAAGAGGAGAAAAUAACUAAUACUGAUUGAGCAUCUACUCUGCGCCAUUCUGCCUGGUGUUUUAAAUUGCGCUAUCUCAUCUAAUCCUCCAACAAUCCUGUAAGGUAGGUGUUUAUAUACCCAUUGUACAGAUGAGAAAAACUGAGUCUCAGGGAGUUCAAAUGACUUGCCUAAGGUUGCACAGCUGCUUGGUGAAGGAGCUGGGAUUUAAACUCAGUUCUCCCUGAUGCCAAAGCCUUCCUUUGUGAGAGUAUAUAUUGGAAGAAAUGCUAUUUUUUAAAAAGGUUUAUUAAGGCCUAAGAGGGGGUCAGGAAGGUGGAAUGAGCAACUCUGCCCAAGGGCAAACAGAUAAUUCUCUUAAACAGUUGAUAAUCUUUGAGUUCUGUUGAUUACCCAUUUGCUCAAUUAUCCAAUGAGGAAAAACAAUGUUUACUGAGUACCUACUGUGUGCUAGGCAUCUUACUGGAAACCAGGGAGAUGGUGAUGGAUAGGGCAGCGUGAUACCUGCCUUCGUGGAGACUAGAGCUGGGGGGAUAAGGGAGGUCUAGCAUUAAACUGUAAACUCUCAACUGGGAUCAGGUGCUGGGAGGAAAGAGGAAUGGCAGGUGUUCAGGAACACAAGGAGCACCCUCAGUGAGGCUGUGGUGUGUGGGGAAGGCCCGGUGAGGAAGUCACAUUUGAGCCGCCCCAGAGGGCCGGAGAGCAGAGGGCUGAGUGGAGAGAGGAUGGAAGAGACGCUGGCAGGAGGAAGCACUCAUCUGAAGGUUCAAGGCAGGGAGCAGGUGGGAGCAGGCAUGCCGUGGAAAGGAGAGAUGGGGAGCAAGGCGAGACUGGGAGGGGCACAGGCCAUCAGGCCAAGUGAAGGGCUGGGAGCUUGGGCUGGAGCAGCGCUUCUCAAAGCAGCUGUGGGAAGCACAAGGGCCGUUUCUGUUUCUCUGC
RNAcentral lists this long non-coding RNA (1914 nucleotides) under Equus asinus (donkey). Its description in RNAcentral is "lncRNA (ENSEASG00005037695.1)". Lineage: Eukaryota; Metazoa; Chordata; Mammalia; Perissodactyla; Equidae. The record is from RNAcentral.